UAAAUGGCCGCAGUAUUUUAACUGUGCAAAGGUAGCAUAAUAAUUAGUCUUUUAAUUGAAGGCUUGUAUGAAUGAUUGGACGAGAUAUAAGCUGUCUCAUUAAAAAUUAUAGAAUUUUAUUUUUUAGUCAAAAAGCUAAAAUAUUAUAGAAAGACGAGAAGACCCUAUAGAUCUUAAUAAUUUAUAAAUUAUUUAUUAUAAAGAUUAUUUUUGAAUUUAUUUUAUAAAUUAUUUUAUUGGGGUGAUAUUGAAAUUUAAUGAACUUUCAAUUAUACUAAACAUAAAUUAAUGAAUUAGUUGAUCCGUUAUUAACGAUUAAAAAUUUAAGUUACCUUAGGGAUAACAGCGUAAUUAUUUUGGAGAGUUCAAAUCGAUAAAAUAGGUUGCGACCUCGAUGUUGGAUUA
Molecule: ribosomal RNA, 405 nt
Filed under: Phacaspis mitis
Lineage: Eukaryota; Metazoa; Arthropoda; Insecta; Diptera; Dolichopodidae
Description: partial 16S ribosomal RNA
Rfam family: Bacterial large subunit ribosomal RNA
Source: RNAcentral